Molecule: unclassified non-coding RNA, 328 nt
Filed under: soil metagenome
Description: partial contains 5.8S ribosomal RNA, internal transcribed spacer 2, and large subunit ribosomal RNA
Rfam family: 5.8S ribosomal RNA (bases 1-120)
Source: RNAcentral
GAUGAAGAACGCAGCGAAAUGCGAUAAGUAAUGUGAAUUGCAGAAUUCAGUGAAUCAUCGAAUCUUUGAACGCACAUUGCGCCCCCUGGUAUUCCGGGGGGCAUGCCUGUCCGAGCGUCAUUACAACCCUCAAGCUCAGCUUGGUGUUGGGCCCCGCCGCCCCGGCGGGCCCUAAAGUCAGUGGCGGUGCCGUCCGGCUCCGAGCGUAGUAAUUCUUCUCGCUCUGGAGGUCCGGUCGUGUGCUCGCCAGCAACCCCCAAUUUUUUUCAGGUUGACCUCGGAUCAGGUAGGGAUACCCUCUGAACUUAAGCAUAUCAAUAGCGGAGGA